UUGACCUCGGAUCAGGAAGG
RNAcentral lists this ribosomal RNA (20 nucleotides) under Candelariella blastidiata. Its description in RNAcentral is "partial 28S ribosomal RNA". Lineage: Eukaryota; Fungi; Ascomycota; Candelariomycetes; Candelariales; Candelariaceae. The record is from RNAcentral.